Molecule: ribosomal RNA, 301 nt
Filed under: uncultured bacterium
Lineage: Bacteria
Description: partial 16S ribosomal RNA
Rfam family: Bacterial small subunit ribosomal RNA
Source: RNAcentral
CAGCCGCCGCGGUAAUACGUAGGGGGCGAGCGUUGUCCGAAGUUACUGGGCGUAAAGCGCGCGUAGGCGGCUUCUUAAGUCUGAGGUGAAAGGUUCAACGCUUAACGUGAACAGUGCCUUGGAUACUGGGGAGCUUGAGUAUGGGAGAGGGCAGUGGAAUGGCUGGUGUAGCGGUGAAAUGCGUAGAUAUCAGUCGGAACACCCAUGGCGAAGGCAGCUGCCUGGCCUAAUACUGACGCUGAGGUGCGAAAGCGUGGGGAGCGAACGGGAUUAGAGACCCCUGUAGUCCCUGUCUCUUAUA